GGAGUUUGGGCCGUGUCUCAGUCCCAAUGUGGCCGUCCAUCCUCUCAGACCGGCUACUGAUCGUUGGCUUGGUGGGCCGUUACCUCACCAACUACCUAAUCAGACGCGGGCUCAUCCUGUACCAGUAUCCCUUUUCCCCCUGAGUGAUGCCACUCUGUGGGCUUAUGCGGUAUUAGCGUACAUUUCUAUACGUUAUCCCCCUGUGCAGGGCAGAUUACCCACGCGUUACGCACCCGUCCGCCACUAGGUUAUAAAAGCAAGCUCUUAUAACCUCGUUCGACUUGCAUGUGUUAAGCGUGCCGCCAGCGUUCAUC
RNAcentral lists this ribosomal RNA (314 nucleotides) under uncultured Clostridia bacterium. Its description in RNAcentral is "partial 16S ribosomal RNA". The record is from RNAcentral. Lineage: Bacteria; Bacillati; Bacillota; Clostridia.